RNAcentral lists this ribosomal RNA (803 nucleotides) under uncultured eukaryote. Its description in RNAcentral is "bacterial SSU rRNA". It matches the Rfam family "Bacterial small subunit ribosomal RNA", at positions 688 to 1456 of the family's 1533-position model. The record is from RNAcentral.
UUGCAGAUAUAUAAAGGAAUGCCAGUAGCGAAGGCGACUUUUUAGUAUAAACUGACGUUAAGGAACGAAAGUGUAGGUAGCAAACAGGAUUAGAUACCCUGGUAGUCUACACUGUAAAUUCUGAGUGCUGUAAUUUAAUUGUAAUGUAAUAUUUAUUUAGAUUUUCAAGCUAACGCAAUAAGCACUCCGCCUGAAGAGUACGAUCGCAAGGUUGGAACUCAAAGGAAUUGACGGGGGUCUAACACUAGUGGUGGAGCAUGUGGUUUAAUGCGAUAAUCCGCGCAAAACCUUACCAAUUCUUGACAUAAAUAUUUUUAUAAAACUUGCAUUAUAACAUUAUAAAACAAAGUUUUUAUUAAUUUUUACAGGUGUUGCACGACUGUCGUCAGCUCGUGUCGUGAGAUGUUUGGUUAAGUCCUUAAACGGGUGCAACUCUUAUCUUUUAAUUUAUUUACAAACAAAAAUUUAUUGAUAAAUUUUUAAGCUUUAAAGAUACGGUCAACGAUAAGUUGAAGGAAGGUAAGAAUGAGGUCAAGUCAAUGUGACCCUUAUGAAUUGGGCUACACAUGUGCUACAAUGAAAAUUACAAAAAGUGACAAAAAAGAAAUUUUGAGUUAAUCUACAAAAAUUUUCCCAGUUCGGAUUGUAGACUGCAACUCGUCUACAUAAAGUUGGAAUCACUAGUAAUCGCGAAUCAGCACGUUGCGGUGAACAUGUAAAUUGGCCUUGUACACACCGCCCGUCACUUGCAAAGAGUUAGUCUUGCUUGAAGAUUUUUAUAAAAUCUAUUGAGAGAUGAUGAU